ACGUCAGGCUCCAGAGUCCUUGUGGCUGACGCAGCAAUUAUUGGUCUUGAGUGGAAAGAAGAGAGAUGCCUGUAGAGGUCAUGGGUGUAAAGGGAAGCUCUGGUCUCAGUCAUUGCAGGGAGGGCAAGUUAAUUGGGAAGGUGUUAGUAAAAUUUUCAUACUAGUCCAAAAGUAGUCAAGAUGAAAGUCUUAGUUCAAAAGAUAUCUUGAGACCCGCUAGUCCACAAUUUAUAGAAGGCUGCCCACCCUUACACGUGACUUACUUUCCUUUCUUCGUUCAAAAGAAAGUGUUUAUGGAUGACCUACUACGUAAUAAGCAACUGCAUACCAGGCUGGGGUGAUGCUCAGUGACUGAAUCCAUGCAGGGAACUCGUUCAUAGUCCAGAUCUCUCCUUUGAGGAUUUUAUGAGGUCCGAAAUGCAGCUCUUCCAAGAAAUAGAACAUUCGCAGCUUGCUAGCCGGGUAAGAGACUUACUACUAUUGAAUGAAAUAAGGUUGAGUAAAUACAAAGAAAAUACAAAAUACACUUAACCUGAUUGAUAUUUUUGCCCCAACGUCUACCAGUGACUUUCUGUUUCCACUCCCUAAAAGAGAGCAUCUUUCUUCAUUUGGAAAAGAUAAGCAAUAAUUAGAGGAUGGAAGAGAGGGUUAAGGGAAGCAGAGGACAGCCAAAGAAGUGGUCAAGUACAGCAUGUUUAUGAGAAAUGCAAAGAACUUUCAGAGCUGUUCAUCCUCAGCAUGUUUCUUUGAGGGACAAUGAAGUAGGAUUGUUCUCAUUUUGUAACAAUGGGGGUUUAGGUUAGGGGGUUUAGCAUCCAGAUCCAUGGAGUGCUUUAUCUAGAACAGGAAUUGCACACCUAAAGCAAGAUCACUCUUCUGAGGCUAGUUUGGCUAUUGUAUGAUUAUUAGCAUUAAUAAUAUUUAUUGAGUACUUUGUAUAUAUGAUAAGGAAACACUUUAAGGAUGGGAGAAGAUCCAGCUGCAAGGCUGUAAUUCAUUGUGUGGUCUCAUUUCACCUGUGCUUAUUCAUCUCUACAGUGACAUUGAGACCGAUUUUCCUUCCACUGUAAAUGUCCCUUAGACCUUCACACUGUCCAAUAAGAUAGGCACAUGUGACUACUUAAUUUGGUUAAAAUGAAAUAAAAUUUCAAAUUCCAUUCCUUUAUUGCACUGGCCACAUUUCAAGUCCUCAGUAGGCACAUGUUACUACCACAUGAGACAGCACAUAUAUAGAACAUUUUCAUCAUCAAAGAAAGUUCUCCUGAACACUGGUAGACCCAGUAAGAAUUUACAGGAUAAACAGAGAGGAUAAAUUGUGAAGAACAGACCUUGUUAAAAGAGUAGCAGUGAAAAGUUGUAUUCCUGAACACCACAGACCCACCCCUACCCUCACUCCAUAUAAGGAACCAGCUCGCCCCCCACACCCCCUCCACCCCACCCCUGCAGGGAGCAAGCAAGAGAACCUGUUGUUUUCGCUCCCUAGUGCUGCAGCAGGAUUCCCCACAAAGCCUUGCCUGGAAGGAAAAAAAAAAAAAGGUAAAGAUGAAGAGUUGUAACAGGGUUUUACAAAACAGGUUUU
Molecule: long non-coding RNA, 1579 nt
Organism: Phocoena sinus (vaquita)
Lineage: Eukaryota; Metazoa; Chordata; Mammalia; Artiodactyla; Phocoenidae
Source: Ensembl